UAUAGGACUCAGGGCCCACGUUUGUGGAAACUGCUGGAAGACAGAAACACUCCUUCUUUCUAUUGGGAUUGCUCUGGAGCUGGGAUGGAGGCUGGAUGGAGCCACUUUGCCACCAUGAGGAGAGAGCCAGAGGACGAGAGGUCAGAUCUGGAGUCCCCGGGACCUGCCACACUGACUUUCUCAGCCACGCUCAGCCGUUAUUACGAAGCAUCACAGCCAACAAUUACGGGUCUGUCAGCACUUGCUAAAUUGCAAGUUACUCAGCUGCAGGAACCAAGCCUUAUUUAGGCACAGGAGACAGCAUAUGUCCCCAAAGGAUUCUCUGCAGAAUCCCGCAGGGAAGAGCCCAAGCCGCUCCCCAGAGUGACAUGGAUUAUCCUACAAGGCGGAGGCCCGCAUUCCCAGCCCAGCAACACCCCAACCCCCUGGCUAAGAUUUUUAGGCGCAUAAUUGUCUUUGGGAUGGGGGUUCACACUCUCCCAAAGAAAGCUCUUCUGUGGCGAGCAACGAACAGAUGAUCUGUUGGGUUCCUGGUUGCAAACCUGGACUUCCAUUUUUGAACAGCAAAAUUAUGCCGAGAGCCCUACACACAAUAAAGCGCAGCUCUUAAAGGAUUUCACUAAUUCCUCCAUUUUCAAAAUAAUCUCCAUUCCAAUAAGUCCAUAGGCUCCCAAUAAUAAGCCCUGCUUUAAUUAGACCUUCCGAUCCCGAAUCUCCAGAUCCUUCCAAGUUUGUGGGCACAAACCCAGAAGCCUCUUCAGCUCGCCGGUCCACACACCCCCUUUAAAAACAAGCUGCCGUCAGUGAAGACACUGUGACUUCUGUGAUUAUUAUGCUUUGGGAUGGGUCUCCUGAUGAUGAGGGGUCGGUGG
This is a long non-coding RNA of Marmota flaviventris (yellow-bellied marmot), 872 nucleotides long. RefSeq lists it as uncharacterized. The record is from RefSeq and is a predicted model, not a curated record. Lineage: Eukaryota; Metazoa; Chordata; Mammalia; Rodentia; Sciuridae.